AUUGAACGCUGGCGGAAUGCUUUACACAUGCAAGUCGAACGGCAGCACGGACUGCGGUCUGGUGGCGAGAUGCGAACGGGUGAGUAAUGUAUCGGAACGUGCCCAGUCGCGGGGGAUAACGUAGUGAAAAUUACGCUAAUACCGCAUACGAUCUAUGGAUGAAAGCGGGGGACCGCAAGACCUUGCGCGAUUGGAGCGGCCGAUAUAAGAUUAGGUAGUUGGUGGGGUAAAGGCCCACCAAGCCAACGACCUGUAGCUGGUCUGAGGGGACGCACAACCACCCUGGAACUGAGACACGGUCCAGACUCCUACGGGAGGCAGCAGUGGGGAAUUUUGGACAAUGGGCGAAAGACUGAUCCAGCCAUUCCGCGUGCAGGAUGAAGGCCCUCGGGUUGUAAACUGCUUUUGUACAGAACGAAAAGGUUUCUACUAAUACUAGGAGCUCAUGACGGUACUGUAAGAAUAAGCACCGGCUAACUACGUGCCAGCAGCCGCGGUAA
Molecule: ribosomal RNA, 500 nt
Filed under: uncultured bacterium
Lineage: Bacteria
Description: partial 16S ribosomal RNA
Rfam family: Bacterial small subunit ribosomal RNA
Source: RNAcentral